RNAcentral lists this long non-coding RNA (763 nucleotides) under Rattus norvegicus (Norway rat). Its description in RNAcentral is "long non-coding RNA NONRATT013385". The record is from RNAcentral. Lineage: Eukaryota; Metazoa; Chordata; Mammalia; Rodentia; Muridae.
GGGAACGAACCCGCCCAGGAGAGGCUUCGGACCCUCUUUAAUGUGGAAGCAGCAGGGCCCAGCCACCUGGCUAUAGGACUGAAGUCUUUCUCCAGCCCCUCCCUCUGUAGCCUGAACACCUUCUUGGCUGGCGCCUCAGGCCUCCCUCAUGCCUCAAGCACUGGAAACCUAGGCCUCCUCUGCAGAAGUGGCCAUCUUGGAACCAGCCAUGGAGCCCCCAGCAGGGCUAUGCCAUCCUUGGAAAGGAGUCUCGUAAGACUGGGUUUUGGCUAAGGUGAGAUUAAAUGCAGCCCUGGCUGUGCCUGGUGGGCUAGGAAGAGGGUGACUGGAGGUUGGGUGGCAGAGAUCUGCCGUUAGUAUAAACCUAGGGUCACGAUUCCGACUGGUACUCAGGCGCCCACCCAGUUCAAGUGCAUGGCUAAUUGGUGACUUUGGCUUUUUCUCCACUUGAGCCUUGGGCCUCCUCUCACGUAAGCCUCAAAUGCAGCAAAAAUAUUCAGUCAGUAACCCCACACACCCCCCCCCCUUCUGUUUUUGAAGCUAACUUCUGUUCUUGAGCUUCUGUUUCCUCACCCUUAGACCAUACCAUAGUUUGCCAACAACCCUGGGUGUGUGCUUGCCCCUAACAGUUUACAUGAUGUAUGUAAUCAAGAGGCUUUGCUUUAGUAACAUGUUUAAUAUACAAUGGCAGAAGUACUGAGAUGUUUCCAUGAGUGGCUGAAGCUCAGGAAAUCCUGACAGUGCUAGUCUUCUCGCCUUGUCC